GCGGCAUUAGCUCAGUUGGAUAGAGCAACGGCCUUCUAAGCCGUGUGGGUCGCAGGUUCGAAUCCUGCAUGCUGCACCA
RNAcentral lists this transfer RNA (79 nucleotides) under Escherichia sp. E4694. RNAcentral describes it as "tRNA-Arg". It matches the Rfam family "tRNA". From Rfam's summary of the family: Transfer RNA (tRNA) molecules are approximately 80 nucleotides in length. Their secondary structure includes four short double-helical elements and three loops (D, anti-codon, and T loops). The record is from RNAcentral. Lineage: Bacteria; Pseudomonadati; Pseudomonadota; Gammaproteobacteria; Enterobacterales; Enterobacteriaceae.